Molecule: long non-coding RNA, 896 nt
Organism: Peromyscus californicus insignis
Lineage: Eukaryota; Metazoa; Chordata; Mammalia; Rodentia; Cricetidae
Exons: 3
Source: RefSeq, a predicted model, not a curated record
UUGUGGUGAUUGCUCAGGAUCCCAGAACUCUGGAGGCUGAGGCGACAUAUUGAGAUUCUGUGUCAACAAAAGAGAAGAAGGAAAAAAAAACGAAGGAGAGAAACAAAGAGUAAGAAGAGAGAGUGGACCAAUGGAGGAACAGAGGAGACAAAAGAAGGCAAAUUAUAGACUGGGAGGAAGAACUUGCAGAGUACCUGAAAAAGGUGCACAGGGAAGAUGUAAAGCUCGUGCAAAGCUCAGCAUCAAAAACAGAGCAACCCAAGGAGCAAAUGAGGAAAAGAUGUCCAUGUAGUUUUGAAGAGGUUUAUGGAGAACAAGCACCCAAAAGAUGUUCAUCAACAUUAGACCUCAGGGAGAGGCAAAUGAAAGCCACAGCGAGCCACAGCUCCCAGAUGGAGAACAGGAAAAACAGCAAGGAGGCUGAAGACAUGGUUCAGCAGAGCACUUGUGAGAGAGCAUCGGGACGGAGAAGUUGCUUGUAGCUAAGGAUUCAGCAUGAUGAAGGCGGCGUGGGCAUGUCUCUAGAGGAAGGGCACGGGGGACCUCGUGACAACGACUGCUGUGGGAUGUUCUGUAUGGCAAAUGUGUUGCUAAUUAGUCAAUAAAUAAAACACUGAUUGGCCAUUGGCUAGGCAGGAAGUGUAGGCGGGACAAGGAGGAGAAUAAAGCUGGGAAGUGGAAGGCUGAGUCAGAGAGACACUGCCAGCCACCACGAUGAGAAACAGCAUGUGAAGAUGCCGGUAAGCCACGAGCCAUGUGGCAAGGUAUAGAUUAAUGGAAAUGGAUUAAUUUAAGCUGUAAGAACAGUUAGCAAGAAGCCUGCCACGGCCAUACAGUUUGUAACCAAUAUAAGUCUCUGUGUUUACUUGGUUGGGUUUGAGCGGCUGUGGGACUGG